GUGAGAGUGCUAUGAUGUGUGUGAGAGUGCUGCGUGUGAUGUGUGUGAGAGUGCUAUGAUGUGUGAGAGUGCUGCGCUGUGUGUGAGAGUGCUGUGUGUGAGAGUGUUGUGUGUUGUGAGUGCUGGGUGUGAUAGUGCUGUGUGUGAUGUGUGUGAGAGUGCUGAGUGUGAAAGUGCUGUGUGUGAGAGUGCUAUGAUGUGUGUGAGAGUGCUGUGUGUGAAAGUGCUAUGAUGUGUGUGAAAGUGCUGCGUGUGAUGUGUGUGAGAGUGCUGCGUGUGAUGUGUGUGAGAGUGCUGAGUGUGAAAGUGCUGUGUGUGAGAGUGCUAUGAUGUGUGUGAGAGUGCUGUGUGUGAAAGUGCUAUGAUGUGUGUGAAAGUGCUAUGAUGUGUGUGAGAGUGCUAUGAUGUGUGUGAGAGUGCUGCGUGUGAUGUGUGUGAGAGUGCUGAGUGUGAGAGUGCUAUGAUGUGUGUGAGAGUGCUGAGUGUGAGAGUGCUG
Pelobates cultripes (western spadefoot toad) is the source of this 496-nucleotide non-coding RNA. Lineage: Eukaryota; Metazoa; Chordata; Amphibia; Anura; Pelobatidae. The record is from the annotation of a GenBank genome assembly.